GAUGAAGAACGCAGUGAAAUGCGAUACUUGGUGUGAAUUGCAGAAUCCCGUGAACCAUCGAGUCUUUGAACGCAAGUUGCGCCCGAAGCCAUUAGGCCGAGGGCACGCCUGCCUGGGCGUCACACGUCGUUGCCCCCCCAUCUACUCCUUCGGGAUUGCGGGGGGCGGAUGAUGGCCUCCCGUGCGCCUUGUCGCGCGGUUGGCAUAAAUGCCAAGUCCUCGGUGACGCACGCCACGACAAUCGGUGGUUGCGAAACCUCGGUUGCCCGUCGUGUGCGGUCGUCGCGCAUCGAGGGCUCGAAAAAAUUGUCGGGCUCCGGCUCGGCUUUCAACGCGACCCCAGGUCAGGCGGGGUUACCCGCUGAAUUUAAGCAUAUCAAUAAGCGGAGGA
Molecule: unclassified non-coding RNA, 391 nt
Filed under: soil metagenome
Description: partial contains 5.8S ribosomal RNA, internal transcribed spacer 2, and large subunit ribosomal RNA
Rfam family: 5.8S ribosomal RNA (bases 1-122)
Source: RNAcentral